Molecule: long non-coding RNA, 1023 nt
Filed under: Macaca mulatta (Rhesus monkey)
Lineage: Eukaryota; Metazoa; Chordata; Mammalia; Primates; Cercopithecidae
Description: lncRNA (ENSMMUG00000049988.1)
Source: RNAcentral
GGAGCCUUUCCCCUUUCCCAAAGGAAGGGUGGGGCGGCGCCGGCCGGUGCAGGAGCCCCUGCGGGCCGCUGGCGUCUGGCAGCAGCGACUCUCCCGGGUCAGUCGGCAGAGCGAGGCGGCUGCCUUUCCACCUCCGUGAGUACUGCCGAGGGGAAAACUGGGGAAGUGGGUCAGCCCGGCGGCUCCCAUCCACAGACCCUCCCCGCCCCAGCCGCCCGCUCUCCCGCGGAGCUUAAGGAGUCUGCUCCCGCCCGGCGGUGUUGCCCGAGUGGCCCUGCCCAGGGGCGGGGCGGGCCGGUCCCUGCGCCAAGGCGCUGCGCCCGCCGGCUGCCCUUGCCCACACGCGGCACCCAUCCUGCGGCGCGGUUGGCCCUCCCGCCACCCCCUCGGCGGGGCCCUUCCCUUUACUAUGGUAAUAGUGACAUUCAGCGGGAAAGGCUAGCACGGCGACGGCGCCCCGGCUCCCGCAGAACGGACGCUCGGGCCGCGGAGGGGGCUGUGCGCCCUCGUACCGCUGGACGCCGGGGGCGGGCGGCCGCCGCGCUCUCCCCGCCCGGCCCGGCCCCUCCGCCGCCGCCGCGGGGCAGCCCCCCGAGCCACGGCCCCGGCUGGCGGGCGAGCUGCGGGCAGGAUCCCAGCGCUCGGGCUCUGGCGCGGGGAAAGGACAGAAACGGCGCAUCGGGAGGGACCCUGCCUCACCGCUUGUAUAUGGCAAAGUUUCUCACCGAGCUCCUGGGCUGCACGUUGCCACGCAAGGGCGCCUCUCCCAUGUUUGAGUCUAAAAGUCAUUCCCGAGUUGGCCUGAAAUCAAGCACCAAGCAAAAGACCACCAUUUUCAGCACAUUGGCCAGUGAGAAGUCCUUAUCUGACUGCAAAAAGGUAAGUCAGCAUCCGAUAAUUCUAGCACGCUGUCAGAGUAAGAAAGGCUUCAGAGUUGGUGAUAUUCGAAUGAAAAGCCAUGGUAUCAGUGGGGAUGUUCUGAUGGAAUAUUAUGGCUCUCUUUCUUUAGAGAUGGAAAUGUGA